UCUGUGGUGUGGUUGUGAUCAUUUUGUUAUUUUCUUUUCUUUAAAUUUAAAUAAACAGAAACACAUAGGACAAACAUAAAUCAAAAAUUAAAUUAAACAAUAAAUCGUACCGUUACUGUAAAAAUGUCUUUCGAUGCGAGCUGGGAUGUGGAUAAAUACCGUGAUGAGCAUGAAAGUGAAGAACAUUGGUUAUUAAGAAAAGCGUUUAUGGAACGAUGGAAAACCGAUUAUUCUGAAGAGAGAUUGGUCUGUUUGGCUCGUGUGUUCUUCAAUAUCGAGUUUAUGGGGUGCAGAUAUCCUACAGAGAUCAUGCAGGAGGUGGCUAGGCUAUCACACGAUGUUGCACAACAAUACAGAAAGCUCAAGAAAACUAAACUGCAAAGGACUUUUGUAUCAGCUUCUGAUGCAGCAGAGGACAGGGCGAAGGGUGUAAAACGAUGUGGCGGUGUCAUAGUAGACAGUCCUGCCCCAAAGUCAACAAGAAUAAACUUUGUGCCCCAAGGGCAUUGUGAAACAAAUGAAUCUACCAUAAACAUAUCAGAUGAUGAACAAAAUGAAAGCUAUGAUAAACAAUUGAGAAAUUCAAAAGCGGAAACACUUUUAACUAGAGAUAUAAUUCCCGCACAUAAUAUUAACUUAAACAAACACAAUGAUAGUGCAAAUAUAAAUAACGACAUACCAAAUGCACAUAAUGAGAAUGCAAUACCACAAAGUGCUGAUAGAAAUGAAUAUUUCAAAGAUUUAGAAAGCUUAAAAUGUUUAAACAUACAAUGUUUUAAUGAUAACAUGUUCAACUCUGCGUAUGGAAGGAUGGUGUUGCUGAUAAGGCCGUGGAGUUCUAAAUUAGGAAAUAUACAGAGCAGCAGUCAAGUGUGUCACAUACCUCUAGUAACGACGUACGAGGACGGCUGCCUGUCCCUGAUGCUGAACGGGCGGCUGGUGGCGCGCGCGGCCGGCGCGAGCAAAGCCGAGGCUCGCAGCAUGGUUGAGAAUAUCGCGUGGAAUAGGUUAAAAGAAGAGUUAGUCAGUGUCCUCAUCAAAGAACAAUGGAUAGCACAAGGUGACAGGAUAUCUGUUAAUGAUGUGUCAGGUAAUAAGUCAGAGUUCGGUACGCCAGUGGACAACAGUGUUGCUACCAAAAUGAUGAAACUAAUGGGAUGGAAAGGCGGCGGGUUGGGCGUCGACGCUCAGGGGAUAGCUGAACCUAUCAAACCGCAUCUACAAAUGGUGAACCGCGCCGGGCUCGGCAGCAACACGUCGGACAUCCGGCAGCUGCGGCGCGCCGGCUUCGAGCUGAUGCGGCGCUUCGUGGCGGCCGACACCGUGGACGUGGACCUGGUGUUCAGCGCGGACUUCAGCAAGGAGGAGCGCGCCGUCAUGCACCAGUGCGCGCAGCGCUCCGGCCUGGCCUCCAGGAGCUACGGCGCCGACGCCGACAGGUGAGCCCCGCCGGCUGCGAGCUGAUGCGGCGCUUCGUGGCGGCCGACACCGUGGACGUGGACCUGGUGUUCAGCGCGGACUUCAGCAAGGAGGAGCGCGCCGUCAUGCACCAGUGCGCGCAGCGCUCCGGCCUGGCCUCCAGGAGCUACGGCGCCGACGCCGACAGAUUCCUGGUAGUGAAAAAGAAGUUGGACCCAUUUUCAUUGGUCCACGCCGUUUUAGAAAAAGGCGGCAACACGUCGAAAUAUCAAGUCUUCUUACCUGUAGCUCUACAACAGAAGAGACAAUUUUAUUAAUGUUUUACUAGCAUUUUAGAACUUAUCAAACGAAAAAUAUGUUAAGUCUGAGUCAAACUUCUACUCCAAUAAUUGAAUACAAAGAAAAAAGUGUGUGAAUGGAGUUUACUCUUUCAGCAGGGCUAGCACGGGCAAGGGAGAAAUUUAUCCACGGGGAGAGGAUAAAACGUUUAUCCCCCACACUCGUUUUAUCCACUCACCGCGCAUGGGCACGCCGGUGGAUAUAAUAUCCCCGGUGGAUAAACGGAGGGAAAGACUUGUCAACCCAUUUGUAUAUAUCUUAUAAAUUGGCAUUAGGUAUAUUAAUAGUCCGAAAUAAACGUAAAUUUGAUAAUAUUUGGUUUUUUUUGUGCAUAUUAUUUAUCUGUUUUCUGUUGGCAUUGUUUUGUUUGGUGAUUGUUUUUUGCGGUGGUUUGUAGUAGGUAUCUAUAGUAUCUAUCAUACUAGCGGACCCGGUCAAGCUUCGUUUUGACAUAAGUGCACUUGUUCUCUAUCCCUACUCUACCCUUCUUUACCUCUACCCCUACCCUACCCCUGCCCUACCCCACCCCUACCCCGCCCCUAACCCCCCUCCCCCACCGCUACACCAACCCUACCCACCCCUACCCCUCCCCCCUCCCCCACCCCUACACCAACCCUACCCCCCCCCCCUACCUCCCCCCCCCUACCGGGUAUGACGGGUGGAUUUAUAUCCUUAGUCAGUGGAUAUAAUGGGUGGAUAAAAAUUUUAUCCCUUGCCCAUGCUAGCCCGGCAGAUCGACUCUCAAAAUAGGUGUAUGUUGCAGCAUACACUAUGUACGUCUCAAUACUUACGCCCGAAAGGUGCACAACCGAAGAGACGUGCGCGCCCGCCAACAGCGCACGGUGAAAGGUGCGCAGAAUAGGUUGCGCACAAAAAACGUAACGUUCAUCGAAUUUUACUGCCCAUAUUUUUUUCAUACCGGAGGCUACAUAUGUAAAAAAGGUUAUUAUUUUCAAAAGUUAAAGAAGUAUCUACUUCAUAUAUUUCAUGAAUAAAAUAUAUUUCUAAUA
RNA transcript from Bicyclus anynana (squinting bush brown), 2768 nucleotides. RefSeq lists it as uncharacterized. NCBI's taxonomy places the organism in Eukaryota, Metazoa, Arthropoda, Insecta, Lepidoptera, Nymphalidae. The record is from RefSeq and is a predicted model, not a curated record. The transcript has 9 exons.